This 403-nucleotide ribosomal RNA is filed under the name uncultured Eubacteriales bacterium. RNAcentral describes it as "bacterial SSU rRNA". It matches the Rfam family "Bacterial small subunit ribosomal RNA", at positions 356 to 774 of the family's 1533-position model. Lineage: Bacteria; Bacillati; Bacillota; Clostridia; Eubacteriales. The record is from RNAcentral.
GGGGAAUAUUGCACAAUGGGGGAAACCCUGAUGCAGCAACGCCGCGUGAAGGAUGAAGGUUUUCGGAUUGUAAACUUCUUUAGUCAGGGACGAAUAAAUGACGGUACCUGAAGAAUAAGCCACGGCUAACUACGUGCCAGCAGCCGCGGUAAUACGUAGGUGGCGAGCGUUGUCCGGAUUUACUGGGUGUAAAGGGUGCGUAGGCGGCCCUGCAAGUCAGGCGUGAAAGGCGGAGGCUUAACCUCCGAGCUGCGUUUGAAACUGCGGGGCUUGAGUGGAGCAGAGGCAGGCGGAAUUCCCGGUGUAGCGGUGAAAUGCGUAGAGAUCGGGAGGAACACCAGUGGCGAAGGCGGCUUUCUGGACUGUAACUGACACUGAGGCAUGAAAGCGUGGGUAGCAAACA